This 198-nucleotide ribosomal RNA is filed under the name Clostridioides sp. ZZV14-6044. RNAcentral's name for it is "partial 16S ribosomal RNA". It matches the Rfam family "Bacterial small subunit ribosomal RNA", at positions 1336 to 1533 of the family's 1533-position model. The record is from RNAcentral. Lineage: Bacteria; Bacillati; Bacillota; Clostridia; Peptostreptococcales; Peptostreptococcaceae.
UAGUAAUCGCAGAUCAGAAUGCUGCGGUGAAUGCGUUCCCGGGUCUUGUACACACCGCCCGUCACACCACGGGAGUUGGAGACGCCCGAAGCCGAUUAUCUAACCUUUUGGAAGAAGUCGUCGAAGGGGGAAUCAAUAACUGGGGUGAAGUCGUAACAAGGUAGCCGUAUCGGAAGGUGCGGCUGGAUCACCGCCUUU